ACACGACUACGAGUUGAUCCUGGCUCAGAACGAACGCUGGCGGCAGGCCUAACACAUGCAAGUCGAGCGCCCCGCAAGGGGAGCGGCGGACGGGUGAGUAACGCGUGGGAACGUGCCUCUUGCUACGGAAUAGCCUCGGGAAACUGGGAGUAAUACCGUAUGUGCCCUACGGGGGAAAGAUUUAUCGGCAAGAGAUCGGCCCGCGUUGGAUUAGGUAGUUGGUGGGGUAAUGGCCUACCAAGCCGACGAUCCAUAGCUGGUUUGAGAGGAUGAUCAGCCACACUGGGACUGAGACACGGCCCAGACUCCUACGGGAGGCAGCAGUGGGGAAUCUUAGACAAUGGGCGCAAGCCUGAUCUAGCCAUGCCGCGUGAGCGAUGAAGGCCUUAGGGUUGUAAAGCUCUUUCAGUGGGGAAGAUAAUGACUGUACCCACAGAAGAAGCCCCGGCUAACUCCGUG
This 459-nucleotide ribosomal RNA is filed under the name uncultured bacterium. RNAcentral describes it as "bacterial SSU rRNA". It matches the Rfam family "Bacterial small subunit ribosomal RNA", at positions 1 to 507 of the family's 1533-position model. The record is from RNAcentral.